RNAcentral lists this unclassified non-coding RNA (212 nucleotides) under Hevea brasiliensis (rubber tree). The record is from RNAcentral. Lineage: Eukaryota; Viridiplantae; Streptophyta; Magnoliopsida; Malpighiales; Euphorbiaceae.
GAGCACAUUGGUGAUGUCUUGGGUGCCCUACGUGACUGUCGAGCUGCUCUCUCCGUCGACCCAAACCAUCAAGAAAUGUUGGAAUUUCACAGUCGCGUAAACAGCCAUGAACUUUGAAUCCAGAAGGCCAAAACUAAACUAUGGCAUGCAAGAGAAAUACUUGGUUCUUAUCAUCACCCUGCAACCUGUAUACUAUUCAUUCCUCAUCCUCA